GGCGGACUUCUCUUCUAUAUGAUAGCACCUGUCCCCUUCUUCUACGAUUAGAUAACCCCCUCGAAGCAAGGAAGGGCAUGAAUCAGAAUAGGCUCGGGAGCUAAGAGAGAUUGACAAGGUUUAAAUAAGAGUGUGCCCAGCAUCUUUCGCUAUCUAUUAUUAGAAGAAGGAAGGGAUAGGUGGAGGACUAGAAAGCCAGGAUGCGGAGAAUCCAGCUAGGAGGAAGAGGAGCUCCUAAAAGAGGUUAGGAUCGCAGCUGAGGCAGUUCCACCAACUUUAUCAAUGGCUUAUUCUAAAUAAGGAUCGGUUAGCCCCUUUCAUGCCUCCCCGGUCGGUGGUCUGUACUUCCUUACACUUAAUUUAAAUUAGAAAUAUCUUAGAAGAAAUGGAUGAAGCUUUUAUUUUAUUUCUAACUUGCCUUUACUAGCCAAGAAGACAGGAUAAUAAGGGGCUAUGUAUGUUUAUUCUACCUUCGA
This 476-nucleotide long non-coding RNA is filed under the name Amborella trichopoda. Its description in RNAcentral is "long non-coding RNA (ATRI_LNC005333)". The record is from RNAcentral. Lineage: Eukaryota; Viridiplantae; Streptophyta; Magnoliopsida; Amborellales; Amborellaceae.